RNAcentral lists this long non-coding RNA (1301 nucleotides) under Sus scrofa (pig). Its description in RNAcentral is "lncRNA (ENSSSCG00030008391.1)". The record is from RNAcentral. Lineage: Eukaryota; Metazoa; Chordata; Mammalia; Artiodactyla; Suidae.
ACCACUAAUUGAGGGAGUGAAGAAGGCAGCAGCUCGCUUCUAACUGGACUGCAGCAUAGGGUCCUCAAGAUUCGUCCAUGUCGUAGAGUGUGAACUUCUUACAAGGAGAAGAGUUUUGUUCAUAAGUGUCUCAGAUCUGGGACAGUGUCCUGAGCUGGCAGCAGACCUACCCGACUUUCACUAGAACUCAGCUUUCACAUUCCAGAAAACAUGACCCUUGCUGCCUACAAAGAGAAGAUGAAGGAGCUCCCCCUGGUGUCCCUGUUCUGCUCCUGCUUCCUGGCCGAUCCCCUGAAUAAGUCAUCCUAUAAAUAUGAAGCGGACACGGUGGACCUGAACUGGUGUGUAAUUUCUGACAUGGAAGUCAUUGAGCUGAAUAAAUGCACCUCAGGCCAGUCCUUUGAAGUCAUCCUGAAGCCGCCCUCCUUUGAUGGGGUGCCCGAGUUCAAUGCCUCCCUACCCAGACGGCGAGACCCAUCACUGGAAGAAAUCCAGAAGAAACUGGAAGCAGCUGAGGAGCGAAGGAAGUACCAGGAAGCUGAGCUCCUGAAGCACCUGGCAGAGAAACGAGAACAUGAAAGGGAGGUGAUCCAAAAAGCCAUUGAGGAGAACAACAACUUCAUCAAGAUGGCUAAGGAAAAACUGGCCCAGAAGAUGGAAUCCAAUAAGGAGAACCGGGAGGCCCACCUUGCUGCCAUGUUGGAACGGCUGCAAGAGAAGGACAAGCACGCAGAGGAGGUGCGGAAAAACAAGGAGCUGAAGGAAGAGGCCUCCAGGUAAAGCCCAGAGGCACAGAGGUUUCCAGAAUGCCGGACCGCUCCAGCAGCUCCGCAGUUCCUGAGGCAGCCUCGCCCACCGCUGGCUGCUCUCCCAGCACUGGGGUUUGGGGGGAGGGGGGUGGCCAGGGGCGUUUCCUCUGCUUUUGGUGUUUGUACAUGUAAAGAAUUGACCAGUGAAGCCAUCCUAUUUGUUUCAGGGGAACAAUGAUGGGGUGGGAGAGGGGAGAGGAGAGAGGUUGGGAAAGGGAGAUGGAAGAGGACUCAUGGACAUUGCAACCCAGCCUGGGUCACGUCCUCGGGCUUUUCUUCACAGUGAGCAUCCGGGCACCGCCUUGAGGGAAGUUAAAAACAGGCAGUAGAACUCUGAGGGUAAGGCAGAGCCCUGGGUGGAGCGAGAACUGCAGGGCGUGGCCUGAGACGCCAGCAGGGAGUGGGGCCCUCCACCUGAGGCAGUGGGAUGAGGUCUGAGUGUGUGUGUGUGUUAACCAUUAUCUUUUGAUCAUCAUGACCAAUAAUGAAACA